Molecule: ribosomal RNA, 497 nt
Filed under: uncultured bacterium
Lineage: Bacteria
Description: partial 16S ribosomal RNA
Rfam family: Bacterial small subunit ribosomal RNA
Source: RNAcentral
ACUCAAAGGAAUUGACGGGGGCCCGCACAAGCGGCGGAGCAUGUGGCUUAAUUCGAUGCAACGCGAAGAACCUUACCUGGGCUUGACAUGUUCGGUCUACCUGCAGAGAUGUGGGGUGCUUUUGCGCCGUUCACAGGUGGUGCAUGGUUGUCGUCAGCUCGUGUCGUGAGAUGUUGGGUUAAGUCCCGCAACGAGCGCAACCCUCGUUCCAUGUUGCCAGCGCGUUAUGGCGGGGACUCAUGGGAGACUGCCGGGGUCAACUCGGAGGAAGGUGGGGAUGACGUCAAAUCAUCAUGCCCCUUAUGUCCAGGGCUGCACACAUGCUACAAUGGCCGGUACAGAGGGCUGCGAUACCGCAAGGUGGAGCGAAUCCCAAAAAGCCGGUCUCAGUUCGGAUCGGGGUCUGCAACUCGACCCCGUGAAGUCGGAGUCGCUAGUAAUCGCAGAUCAGCAACGCUGCGGUGAAUACGUUCCCGGGCCUUGCACACACCGCCCGU